RNAcentral lists this ribosomal RNA (500 nucleotides) under uncultured bacterium. RNAcentral describes it as "partial 16S ribosomal RNA". It matches the Rfam family "Bacterial small subunit ribosomal RNA", at positions 30 to 523 of the family's 1533-position model. The record is from RNAcentral.
AUUGAACGCUGGCGGAAUGCUUUACACAUGCAAGUCGAACGGCAGCACGGACUUCGGUCUGGUGGCGAGUGGCGAACGGGUGAGUAAUGUAUCGGAACGUGCCCAGUCGUGGGGGAUAACGUAGUGAAAAUUACGCUAAUACCGCAUACGAUCUAUGGAUGAAAGCGGGGGAUCGCAAGACCUCGCGCGAUUGGAGCGGCCGAUAUCAGAUUAGGUAGUUGGUGGGGUAAAGGCCCACCAAGCCAACGAUCUGUAGCUGGUCUGAGAGGACGACCAGCCACACUGGAACUGAGACACGGUCCAGACUCCUAGGGGGGGCAGCAGUGGGUAAUUUUGGACAAUGGGCGAAAGCCUGAUCCAGCCAUUCCGCGUGCAGGAUGAAGGCCCUCGGGUUGUAAACUGCUUUUGUACAGAACGAAAAGGUUUCUACUAAUACUAGGAGCUCAUGACGGUACUGUAAGAAUAAGCACCGGCUAACUCCGUGCCAGCCGCCGCGGUAA